RNAcentral lists this unclassified non-coding RNA (223 nucleotides) under plant metagenome. RNAcentral describes it as "partial contains small subunit ribosomal RNA, internal transcribed spacer 1, and 5.8S ribosomal RNA". The record is from RNAcentral.
UUACCGUAGGUGAACCUGCGGAAGGAUCAUUAAAGAGAAUAUGCCCUUCGGGGUAGAUCUCCCACCCUUUGUUUAUAUUACCUUUGUUGCUUUGGCAGGCCCGUCUUCGGACCACCGGCUUCGGCUGGUCAGUGCUUGCCAGAGGACCCAAAACUCUUAUUAUUAAUGUCGUCUGAGUACUAUAUAAUAGUUAAAACUUUCAACAACGGAUCUCUUGGUUCUG